RNAcentral lists this non-coding RNA (29 nucleotides) under Mus musculus (house mouse). The record is from RNAcentral. Lineage: Eukaryota; Metazoa; Chordata; Mammalia; Rodentia; Muridae.
UAGUACCCGAACCAGUCUCAAGGUGUUCU